This 901-nucleotide ribosomal RNA is filed under the name uncultured Verrucomicrobiae bacterium. RNAcentral describes it as "bacterial SSU rRNA". It matches the Rfam family "Bacterial small subunit ribosomal RNA", at positions 58 to 936 of the family's 1533-position model. The record is from RNAcentral. Lineage: Bacteria; Pseudomonadati; Verrucomicrobiota; Verrucomicrobiia.
CAAGUCGAGCGAGAUUUUUCGUUGUAGCAAUACGAUGGAAAAUUUAGCGGCGAACGGGUGCUUAACACGUGGGCAACCUGCCAUGAAGUGGGGGAUAGCUCGCCGAAAGGCGAAUUAAUACCGCAUGUGAUUAGAGAGGACAUCCUUUCAAAAUUAAAGUCGGGGCAACCUGACGCUUCUUGUGGGGCCCGCGGCCUAUCAGCUAGUUGGUGAGGUAACGGCUCACCAAGGCUUUGACGGGUAGCUGGUCUGAGAGGACGACCAGCCACACUGGGACUGAGACACGGCCCAGACACCUACGGGUGGCAGCAGCCGAGAAUUUUUGACAAUGGGGGAAACCCUGAUCGAGCGACGCCGCGUGGAGGAUGAAGGUCUUCGGAUUGUAAACUCCUGUCAUUUGGGAACAAGGUGCACACGUUAACUGCGUGUGUAUUGAUAGUACCAGAAGAGGAAGGGACGGCUAACUCUGUGCCAGCAGCCGCGGUAAUACAGAGGUCUCAAGCGUUGUUCGGAUUCAUUGGGCGUAAAGGGUGCGUAGGCGGCGCGGUAAGUCGGGUGUGAAAUCUCGGAGCUUAACUCCGAAACUGCAUUCGAUACUGCCGUGCUUGAGGACUGGAGAGGAGACUGGAAUUUACGGUGUAGCGGUGAAAUGCGUAGAUAUCGUAAGGAAGACCAGUGGCGAAGGCGGGUCUCUGGACAGUUCCUGACGCUGAGGCACGAAGGUCAGGGGAGCAAACGGGAUUAGAUACCCCGGUAGUCCUGACAGUAAACGGUGCACGUUUGGUGUGGGAGGAUUCGACCCCUUCUGCGCCGGAGCUAACGCGUUAAACGUGCCGCCUGGGGAGUACGGUCGCAAGAUUAAAACUCAAAGAAAUUGACGGGGGCCCGCACAAGCGGUGGA